This is a long non-coding RNA of Strigops habroptila (Kakapo), 1270 nucleotides long. RefSeq lists it as uncharacterized. NCBI's taxonomy places the organism in Eukaryota, Metazoa, Chordata, Aves, Psittaciformes, Psittacidae. The record is from RefSeq and is a predicted model, not a curated record. The transcript is spliced from 2 exons.
UUCGUGGUACAGUUAAUUUCUUAAGUAGUGCACUGGGAUGCUUGAUUUUUUAAUUAAUUAAUCAGGAGCUGUAAUGCACUGAGCUUGCCGGGAUGGUGGGAGUAAUUAAGGAAGAACUGAUGGGUAUGCAGAUUUUGGGUUUACGGCCUCUCACGGGGGUUUGAUUCAUUGAUAUUAAACAGUUCAUAAUCACUUCUUUUCAAUGGGAUUCCGUAUGAAGAUCCGAAAUCACUUUGGAGACAUGUUCAGAUUACUCAUCCCAGUGUUUUUGUGCUAUAUAUGCAGGCAGAGGCAUCCAGUUUUGUGGAGGUCCAGAGGAAGCCAGUGGCAGGGCUGUGGGCAUGAGCCAUUCCUGGUGAUUCCGGAGCCCAUGUUUCCUGUGCAAGGAUGCCUUUCCCUGCAGGUUUAUCAUGCUAACGUUCUUCCUAAGAAGCAUCAAACGCUGCGCUGCUGCUGCUUCCUUCAGAUCUUCGCUCCCUGAAGAUACGUCAUCCCAACACAGUCCCAAAGCCAGAAGUGCGGGGCUCAGAUCCUCACGAAUGUGAUUAUCUUCACUAGUGUGAGUCGCCCCGUUGGGAUUCCUCACCGCAGUGCAGACAAAUGUGUGUAAUUGCAGAAUCGAGGCCUUAGGCUGUGAGAAGUGAGGAAAUCACAGCUUGAGGUGGUCUGUCUGUAGCUCUUUGUGGGAGGUUUUGUGUUAACAGUCGACGAAUUCAAUGUGUCAAACAAAUAAAGCUUUAAAUAUUUAGAGAUUAGGAGGUCCCUGAUAAAAAAUUCAUAGGAAUAAAGGCAAAUUCCCUCAUCCCUAUAGCAGCAUUCGGUUGCACAUCAAAUAGGGAGAAUAACUUGGAUAGAUAGCUAGAUUAGAUAGAUAGAUAGAUAGAUACUUUGUGCUUGGCAUGUCAAGGUUCUAUGAGAAGAGCCAUCGAUGUGUAUAGAAAUGCAUCAGGAGAGACAGAGCUGGGCGGCCUCCCCCACCUAGUGCUUCUAUUUGAGCAUUUUCCUGCUCGGGGAAGCUGUCCCAGGCAAACACUAACCCUUGUUUCUUUAGAGCUGUGUUUCUGGAAGAGGAAAGGUGUAAUCAGCAGACAACCUGCCGUGAUGUGGGAGUUGGCAGCGCCGUCUCCUCCACCUCUCCUCUUGAUGGGGCUCCACAGUGCCGGGAAGAAGGAGUUUGGCUGGAGUACGGUUGGGAAACGCGUGACCAGAGACCCCGUUUGGGCCAUUAACCGCCGUGUCUGAUUCAUUUCCAAGCUGAAUCAUUUUGACA